This is a long non-coding RNA of Talpa occidentalis (Iberian mole), 1192 nucleotides long. RefSeq lists it as uncharacterized. The record is from RefSeq and is a predicted model, not a curated record. Lineage: Eukaryota; Metazoa; Chordata; Mammalia; Eulipotyphla; Talpidae. The transcript has 3 exons.
CCCUCUUUGGUCCUCCACCGUGGGCAGCACUGCUGGCCUGGUCCUUGGAGCUGUGCUCACGGGCGCUGUGAUGUGCAGGAAGAAAUUCUGGCGGACAAGGAGGAAGCUACACUCAGGCUGCAGUGUCAGACAGUGGCCUUUUGGGGACUGAGUGAUGAGGAUUUCUUCUGAUCUCCAUUUUGUGACUUCAAGAUUCCCCGGUUUAAAUCACCAUGAGAUACCACCUCACACCUUUGAGAAUGGCCCAUAACAAAAAGAUCAGAAACAACAGGUUCCUGAGGAUGUAGAGAAAGAGGGAACAGUCCUAUGUUGAGGUGGGGAUGCAUACUAGUCCUGUCCCCAUGGAAAGGGUAAGGAGUGUUCUCAAAAGAUCAAAAAUGGAUCUUCCCUGUCACCCAGCAAUUCACUACUUGGCAGCUACUUGAAGAAUAUAGAACACUAAUUUGAAGGGAAACUUGCAUACCUGUGAUUACUGCAGCACUGUUUUCAGUAGCCAAGCAAUGGAAACAAAUUACCCAAAACAGAGGAGUAGCUCAAGAAGAUGUGGUCUGUAUACACAGUGGAAUACUACUCUGCAGUCAAGACAAUAAACUCAUGCCAUUUGUGCAACAUGGAUGGAGCUGGAGGGGAUUAUACUAAGUGAGUAGUUGGAAGGAGAAAGACAAAUUCCAACAGUGUCACUUGUGUCAGAGACAUAGAGAAAUCAAGCAAAAGCUCAGAUAAGUCAAACUGCAAAUAUAACCCUUGAAAUCUGACUAUAGAUCUGUGCUACCAGAGGAGUAGCAGGAGGGAUGAGAAAAGUGGGGGGACACCUUGGACUAUGAUGGGGACCAUAGGUGCUUUGGUAGUGGGUGCUGAAUUAAAAACACCUGAAGGGCUGAUCCUACACUUCUGAAAUACAGUGAUGUAAACCAAUGCUACCUCAAUAACAUAUAUACUUGUAUUUAAAACAUCCCCUGGUUUUCUGGCUGCAAAGGGUGUCCUCAUGUGUCUGCGCUCCUAUUAGCAUAAUGUGAGGAGGUGGGGAGACUGGUCCAGCCCUGCCCACCAGGACCCUCCCCACACUGACCUGUGUUGUCCCCACAAGGUCCCGGGUGACCCAUGCACACAGGAAUACAUAGCAUUAGAGAUUAAUAUCCAGACUCAAAGUUUUGGCUUCCCUUUAGGACUCUUUCUGGAUUAUUCUUUCCAU